RNAcentral lists this ribosomal RNA (433 nucleotides) under uncultured bacterium. Its description in RNAcentral is "partial 16S ribosomal RNA". It matches the Rfam family "Bacterial small subunit ribosomal RNA", at positions 29 to 507 of the family's 1533-position model. The record is from RNAcentral.
AACGAACGCUGGCGGCAGGCCUAACACAUGCAAGUCGAGCGAGCAUUUCGGUGCUAGCGGCGGACGGGUGAAUAACGCGUGGGAACGUGCCCUUUUCUGCGGAAUAGUCCUGGGAAACUGGGGGUAAUACCGCAUACGCCCUUUUGGGGAAAGAUUUAUCGGAGAAGGAUCGGCCCGCGUUGGAUUAGGUAGUUGGUGGGGUAAUGGCCCACCAAGCCGACGAUCCAUAGCUGGUUUGAGAGGAUGAUCAGCCACACUGGGACUGAGACACGGCCCAGACUCCUACGGGAGGCAGCAGUGGGGAAUCUUAGACAAUGGGGGCAACCCUGAUCUAGCCAUGCCGCGUGAGUGAUGAAGGCCUUAGGGUUGUAAAGCUCUUUCAGCUGGGAAGAUAAUGACGGUACCAGCAGAAGAAGCCCCGGCUAACUCCGUG